AGACCUUUCCCUGCAGGAAUACAGGCUGGGGGAGUUGGCUUGAAAAAUUGCAGUGUCUGGGGAAAGAACUAGUUUGAUUUCUGAUCUGAUUUAGGGAAAGGUCUGGUGAGGAGAGUAUGGGGCGCUCUCUCUGUUCAAGGUGAGAAUAAAGCCCCAUUAUUGUUUACGUGUCUUUACAGAAACCAGUCAUCGUUGCCAGCUGCCUACGGAAGGAAUACGCAGGCAAAAAGAAAAAUUGCUUUUCCAAAAGGAAGACAAAAAUCGCCACAAGGAAUGUGUCUUUCUGUGUUAAAAAAGGUGAAGUUAUAGGGUUGUUAGGACACAAUGGAGCUGGGAAAAGUACAGUGAUUAAGAUGAUCUCUGGAGACACAAAACCAACCGCAGGGCAGGUGCUAUUGAAAGGGAGCGGCAGAGGGGACCCCCUGGGCGUCCUGGGGUGCUGUCCGCAGGAGAACGCGCUGUGGCCCAGCCUGACAGCCGGGGAGCACCUGCAGGCCUACGCCGAGGUGAAGGGGCUGAGGAGAGGGGACGCGGAGGUCGCCAUCUCUCGGUGCGUGCAGGGGACGGGGACACACCAUUCUCCGCUGCCAGAUGUCACCGGCAUUAUGUUCAUGUGAAAUUAAG
Molecule: long non-coding RNA, 624 nt
Organism: Otolemur garnettii (small-eared galago)
Lineage: Eukaryota; Metazoa; Chordata; Mammalia; Primates; Galagidae
Exons: 3
Source: RefSeq, a predicted model, not a curated record